CGUGUAGGCGGCUGAGCAAGUCAGAUGUGAAAGCCCUGGGCUUAACCCAGGAAGUGCAUUUGAAACUGCUUAGCUUGAGUAAGGGAGAGGAAAGUGGAAUUCCUGGUGUAGAGGUGAAAUUCGUAGAUAUCAGGAGGAACACCGGUGGCGAAGGCGACUUUCUGGCCCUAUACUGACGCUGAGACGCGAGAGCGUGGGUAGCAAACAG
Molecule: ribosomal RNA, 208 nt
Filed under: uncultured Syntrophaceae bacterium
Lineage: Bacteria; Pseudomonadati; Thermodesulfobacteriota; Syntrophia; Syntrophales; Syntrophaceae
Description: partial 16S ribosomal RNA
Rfam family: Bacterial small subunit ribosomal RNA
Source: RNAcentral